GACGAACGCUGGCGGCGUGCUUAACACAUGCAAGUCGAACGGAAAGGCCCUGCUUUUGUGGGGUGCUCGAGUGGCGAACGGGUGAGUAACACGUGAGUAACCUGCCCUUGACUUUGGGAUAACUUCAGGAAACUGGGGCUAAUACCGGAUAGGAGCUCCUGCUGCAUGGUGGGGGUUGGAAAGUUUCGGCGGUUGGGGAUGGACUCGCGGCUUAUCAGCUUGUUGGUGGGGUAGUGGCUUACCAAGGCUUUGACGGGUAGCCGGCCUGAGAGGGUGACCGGCCACAUUGGGACUGAGAUACGGCCCAGACUCCUACGGGAGGCAGCAGUGGGGAAUAUUGCACAAUGGGCGGGAGCCUGAUGCAGCAACGCCGCGUGCGGGAUGACGGCCUUCGGGUUGUAAACCGCUUUCGCCUGUGACGAAGCGUGAGUGACGGUAAUGAGUAAAGAAGCACCGGCUAACUACGUG
This 468-nucleotide ribosomal RNA is filed under the name uncultured bacterium. RNAcentral's name for it is "partial 16S ribosomal RNA". It matches the Rfam family "Bacterial small subunit ribosomal RNA", at positions 28 to 507 of the family's 1533-position model. The record is from RNAcentral.